RNAcentral lists this ribosomal RNA (404 nucleotides) under uncultured bacterium. RNAcentral's name for it is "partial 16S ribosomal RNA". It matches the Rfam family "Bacterial small subunit ribosomal RNA", at positions 28 to 526 of the family's 1533-position model. The record is from RNAcentral.
GACGAACGCUGGCGGCGUGCCUAAUACAUGCAAGUCGAACGCAGUGGGGACGGGUGAGUAACACGUGGGUAACCUCCCCCUCAGAUGGGAUCACCCUUGGAAAUAGGUGCUAAACCGAUACUGAUGGAUGAACCCGCGGUGCAUUAGCUAGUUGGUGAGGUAACGGCUCACCAAGGCCACGAGGCAUAGCAGACCUGAGAGGGUGAGCGGCCAAACUGGGACUGAGACACGGCCCAGACGCCUACGGGAGGCAGCAGUAGGGAAUCUUCGGCAAUGGACGAAAGUCUGACCGAGCAACGCCGCGUGAGUGAAGAAGGUUUUCGGAUCGUAAAACGCUGUUGUUAGAGAAGCGGUAUCUAACCAGAAAGCCACGGCUAACUCCGUGCCAGCAGCCGCGGUAAUAC